RNAcentral lists this ribosomal RNA (253 nucleotides) under uncultured bacterium. Its description in RNAcentral is "partial 16S ribosomal RNA". It matches the Rfam family "Bacterial small subunit ribosomal RNA", at positions 524 to 776 of the family's 1533-position model. The record is from RNAcentral.
UACGUAGGUGGCGAGCGUUGUCCGGAAUCACUGGGCGUAAAGGGCGCGUAGGUGGCGGCCCAAGUCCGUGGUGAAAGCUCGCCGCUUAACGGCGAGUCGGCCACGGAGACUGGGUGGCUCGAGCACUGUAGGGGCAGAUGGAAUUCCGGGUGUAGCGGUGGAAUGCGUAGAGAUCCGGAAGAACACCAGUGGCGAAGGCGGUCUGCUGGGCAGUUGCUGACACUGAGGCGCGACAGCGUGGGGAGCAAACAGG